Hylaeus volcanicus is the source of this 2298-nucleotide long non-coding RNA. RefSeq lists it as uncharacterized. NCBI's taxonomy places the organism in Eukaryota, Metazoa, Arthropoda, Insecta, Hymenoptera, Colletidae. The record is from RefSeq and is a predicted model, not a curated record. The transcript is spliced from 3 exons.
AUAGUAUAGUAUAGUAUAGUAUAGGUAUGAAAGAAGAUAAUGGAUCGUCGAUGGCAAAAGGCAGAAAUUUUUAACGGAAAAUUGUACAUAUAGUAAUUACAUUAAUAAUCAUGGUUAAUAAUGACGGGUGAGAAUUGAGAAUACUAUAAAGCGAGAUAAUAAUUUCAGAAUUCUGGUUCUGUAAAGCCUUGACCUCGUGCAAUCGCUGUCCCCAACGGGCCUUGACCUCGCCAUUUCAACUGAAAUUUUUGAAAUGAUUUUUCGAAAGAAUGUGUACAGAAGGAAUCGGUUGAAUACGAACGUUUCACCGGUGACGCGAUAUGGAAGGACAAAUUGUUUCGAGUUUCUAAUGAAAGUGGACGGUAAUUAGAGCUUGUUAUGCCUCCGUAAACAAUGGAACGGUGCAAGAAUACUCGGCCGAACGAUGUGUUGGUAGAAGAAAAAAAAUUGUUUAAAUAAAGAGGGGCACCUCACGGAAUCGCGUUUAAUUCUUUACUGAGGGGUUACGUUUGGCUUCGCACCCUCUCCACGAAAUAGGGGUAACGGGGGUGGAAGAUUGCGCAUGCGUUUCAUAGAUUCACGAAUGUUUCCGUACUGAACACACGAAAUUGUAUGUUCGGAGAGAUAUCGGUGCGUCCAGCAAGUGUAACGAGACGAAUGGAUGCGUUUCUGCAUAAGAAAGGAUCGUACUACUACGCCUAUCGUUGCAGUUAUACGGAAAUAAACGUUAGUCGGUCAAUAGGAAUAAUCGGAGGGUGCGUAAGAGUGCGAUGAAUGAAGCUUCUAAGAGGGUGAUCGACACGUACACUAGUAUACGACAUUUGUGACACUUGACGGAGACUUUACGGAUAGAAAUUGUCUCGCAAGCUCGAAAUUUGAAGACAUUAAUGAAUCUCAACUGGAAAAGAACGCUACUCAUAGACUAUUUUUGCAAUCAUUCGGCUUCAAGGGAAAUACAUAGUGACUGGUAGCCGAUGACUCACGAAAACUAUGACGACGGAACAUUCCAAGUAGCAUGUAAAUCAUCACGCGCACUCGUAUGUGCAUAGAUUGUCGUAAACAUAUGGAUCGCGCAACAUUUUUUUCGAGAAUAGUUUUACAUGAACCUAAUGAAAUAUGUAUAUAAAAAUAUUGAUGUAUUAACACACGGGGAUAGGUGCAUGCAUAUGUAUGUAUAGAGCGUCUCUUCCAAGUUUUAGCAACCGGCGCGCGGCGCGGCGACACGUGUAAUACGAGCCUCGCUCGUCGUUUAUCUCGCUGGCUUCUCACCUCUCGGUAUAUGUAUAUACAUAUGCAUUCACUUUCGUCAUUCAACUGUUGACGAGAUGCUGGAUCUCAUUGUCAUUUCGAGAUAGAGAAGUAAAGAGUUAAACAAGUUACGAAAAAUCAAGUAUAUUCUGUUCCUUUACACUUGAAAGUGUUGCCGUACCGAUAAAAACAAACCACUCGAAAUUUACGUAAUUUUACCGAAAGUAUUUUCGAAAAAUGCAAACUACAACAAAAUACAUCAACGAUCCAUGGUUGAAAUUUCAUGCAAGAUUGUUGAAAGUUCGGGAAUGUAACAAAGUCCGAGUAAAUGUAGCGAAUUUUUUAGUCACAAAUGGUGUGUGAUAGCACCAGACAAUUGAUGGUCUAUAUUUAUAAGACGCAACACAACGCUUGAAACGUUGCGCUGAUUAAGAUUCGUAUCGUGUGACGACAAUAUUCGUCUCAAGUUUCGUUUGUACCUACAUACGUAACGAAUCGUGAUAACGGUUUACCACACUGUUUGGCUAUUUUAGAUGUUUGUAACGCAAAUUCUUUAAACAUUGGAAUAAAUAUUUUCAUUCCAAACAGUUGCACUUUACUUAACCGACACCCUACUAUUUUAACAUUUCUUCAUUUAUGUUAAAUCAUCAAUUUACCACACAACGAUUACAACGUAAAGUGAAAUCGUUUUUUGUCACCGAGUUUCCUUUCUAUUUAGUAAAUUAGUGAAAAUUCACCACACGCGACUCUUUCUAAAUAUACAUAUACACCAGAAUAGGGGAUACAACUAUCAUCGAAAUCUCAUCGUCAUGGUAGUUGAUUUUCUGUCACGGUUUCGCAUACUCUUAAGGAAAUGAAUUAAAACGAUUUACUUCCGGUUGUAACAGCCUGUCGAAGGCGUGGCAACUUAACGGUCCAUGCAGGAAUUCUCCUCUGUUCAGUGUAUCAUCCCACUUUCCUAAAGAGGAUCGCGAUCCUUGAUAUACUUGUCAAAGACAAACUUUUCGGAGAAUCUUUUUAAGAUGGACAAACAAAUUUUACUAAUUAAAG